GAGGGUGUAGCUCAAGUGGUAGAGUACAUGCUUAGCAUGCAUGAGGCCCUGGGUUCAAUCCCCAUUACCUCCU
Molecule: transfer RNA, 73 nt
Filed under: Camelus bactrianus (Bactrian camel)
Lineage: Eukaryota; Metazoa; Chordata; Mammalia; Artiodactyla; Camelidae
Also listed under: 2 other names
Rfam family: tRNA
About the family: Transfer RNA (tRNA) molecules are approximately 80 nucleotides in length. Their secondary structure includes four short double-helical elements and three loops (D, anti-codon, and T loops).
Source: Rfam by way of RNAcentral